GGGCGUAUAGCUCAGCUGGUUAGAGCGCCUGCUUCACACGCAGGAGGUCAGCGGUUCGAGUCCGUUUACGCCCACCA
This 77-nucleotide transfer RNA is filed under the name Clostridia bacterium. Its description in RNAcentral is "tRNA-Val". It matches the Rfam family "tRNA". Rfam says of the family: Transfer RNA (tRNA) molecules are approximately 80 nucleotides in length. Their secondary structure includes four short double-helical elements and three loops (D, anti-codon, and T loops). Lineage: Bacteria; Bacillati; Bacillota; Clostridia. The record is from RNAcentral. RNAcentral also lists the same sequence under 1 other name.